UGGGGAAUAUUGGACAAUGGGCGAAAGCCUGAUCCAGCCAUGCCGCGUGAGUGAUGAAGGCCCUAGGGUUGUAAAGCUCUUUCACCGGUGAAGAUAAUGACGGUAACCGGAGAAGAAGCCCCGGCUAACUUCGUGCCGGCAGCCGCGGUAAUACGAAGGGGGCUAGCGUUGUUCGGAAUUACUGGGCGUAAAGCGCACGUAGGCGGAUAUUUAAGUCAGGGGUGAAAUCCCGGGGCUCAACCCCGGAACUGCCUUUGAUACUGGGUAUCUAGAGUAUGGUAGAGGUGAGUGGAAUUCCGAGUGUAGAGGUGAAAUUCGUAGAUAUUCGGAAGAACACCAGUGGCGAAGGCGGCUCACUGGACCAGAAUUGACGCUGAGGUGCGAAAGCGUGGGGAGCAAAC
This 401-nucleotide ribosomal RNA is filed under the name uncultured bacterium. RNAcentral describes it as "bacterial SSU rRNA". It matches the Rfam family "Bacterial small subunit ribosomal RNA", at positions 355 to 773 of the family's 1533-position model. The record is from RNAcentral.